GCUGGGCGUUGUGGCGGGCGCCUGUGGUCCCAGCUACUUGGGAGGCUGAGGCAGGAGACUCGCUUGAGCCCAGGAGUUGGAGGUUGCUGUGAGCUGUAAUGCCAGGGCACUCUACCCAGGGGGACAGCUUGAGGCUCUGUCUCAAAAAAAAAAAAAAAAGAAAAUUGUCAGGAUAAUCACAUUUAACUGUCAUAUCUAAACCAAGUUUCUCACAACUCACAUUUUUUUCUUUUUUUUGAGACAGAGCCUCAAGCCUGUCGGCCUGGGUAGAGUGCUGUGGCAUCACAGCUCACAGUAACCUCCAACUCCUGGGCUCAAGUGAUUCUCCUGCCUCCA
Molecule: signal recognition particle RNA, 336 nt
Filed under: Otolemur garnettii (small-eared galago)
Lineage: Eukaryota; Metazoa; Chordata; Mammalia; Primates; Galagidae
Description: Metazoan signal recognition particle RNA
Rfam family: Metazoan signal recognition particle RNA
About the family: The signal recognition particle (SRP) is a universally conserved ribonucleoprotein. It is involved in the co-translational targeting of proteins to membranes.
Source: Rfam by way of RNAcentral